AGAAUCAACGCUGGCGGCGUGCCUAACACAUGCAAGUCGAACGAGAAAGUGGUAGCAAUACCAUGAGUAAAGUGGCGCACGGGUGAGUAACACGUGACUAACCUACCCUUGAGUGGGGGAUAACUGAGGGAAACCUUAGCUAAUACCGCAUAAUACCCACGGGUCAAAGGAGCAAUUCGCUCGAGGAGGGGGUCGCGGCCGAUUAGUUAGUUGGCGGGGUAAUGGCCCACCAAGACGAUGAUCGGUAUCCGGCCUGAGAGGGCGCACGGACACACUGGAACUGAAACACGGUCCAGACUCCUACGGGAGGCAGCAGUGGGGAAUUUGCGCAAUGGGGGAAACCCUGACGCAGCAACGCCGCGUGGAGGAUGAAGUCCUUCGGGACGUAAACUCCUUUCGAUCGGGACGAUUAUGACGGUACCGGAAGAAGAAGCCCCGGCUAACUUCGUGCCAGCAGCCGC
RNAcentral lists this ribosomal RNA (461 nucleotides) under uncultured bacterium. Its description in RNAcentral is "SSU rRNA". It matches the Rfam family "Bacterial small subunit ribosomal RNA", at positions 26 to 518 of the family's 1533-position model. The record is from RNAcentral.